AUGGGGAGAUCGCCGUGCUGCGAGAAGGCGCACACCAACAAGGGCGCCUGGACCAAGGAGGAGGAUCAGCGGCUCAUCGCCCACAUCAAGGCCCAUGGAGAAGGGUGCUGGAGAUCGCUCCCCAAAGCAGCAGGUACAACAUACUCCUAUCUUUAUUUGGUAUGCGGACUCAACAUUGGCAUGCAUGCCGGCCGUGUGGGAGGUGAUGUUGAUUCGUGUGCAUGUACUCGUGUAGGGUUGCUGCGUUGCGGAAAGAGCUGCCGGCUGCGGUGGAUCAACUACCUGAGGCCGGACCUUAAGCGCGGCAAUUUCACCGACGAGGAGGACGAGCUCAUCAUCAAGCUUCACGAGUUCCUCGGAAACAAGUGGUCGCUGAUCGCCGGGAGGCUGCCGGGGAGGACGGACAACGAGAUCAAGAACUACUGGAACACGCACGUCAAGCGCAAGCUCCUCGCCCGCGGCGUCGACCCGCAGACCCACCGCCCGCUCAAUGCUGGCACCGCCGCCGUGCAGGGGAUGCACACGCCUUCGUCCCCCGUCGUGGCGAGCGGCGCCAGCCCUCACCAACUCGCGGGCGGCUCCAGCUGCUCGCCCGAUGCCAGCGGCCACAGCAGCGACGCCGACGACAGCGUGUCUUUGCCGCCGUCACUGGCGGGGAACCUCGGCGUGGGCAUGAUCGACCUGAACCUGUCCAUAAGCCCGCCCUGCCAGCCGCCCCUAAGCCGAGAAGCGGAUGGUGUGCUUAGGACGGGAUACUCGGAGAGGGAGAAGAUAUGCUUGUGCUUGAACCGGCUGGGGUUGCACGGCGGCGAGGGGUGCAGCUGUGUCGGUUCCUCGUCUUCUUCUUCCUUGCACCCGGCGAGCUCCGGAGUGUUAAGAUUCCUUGAUGCCUCGCUCUUCAGAGAUCCUAAAGUACAAUAG
RNAcentral lists this ribosomal RNA (921 nucleotides) under Triticum aestivum (bread wheat). Its description in RNAcentral is "partial small subunit ribosomal RNA". The record is from RNAcentral. Lineage: Eukaryota; Viridiplantae; Streptophyta; Magnoliopsida; Poales; Poaceae.